Pelobates cultripes (western spadefoot toad) is the source of this 206-nucleotide non-coding RNA. The record is from the annotation of a GenBank genome assembly. Lineage: Eukaryota; Metazoa; Chordata; Amphibia; Anura; Pelobatidae.
CCCCUCUCCUACCGGGGGAGCCAUAACAGUAAUUAUUGCAGUUUUUCACAAACUGCAACAAUUACAAUUGCAGGGUUGAGGGGAUAGGGGCACUGCACCCAGACCACUUCAAUGAGCUGAAGUGGUCUAGCUGCCUAUGGUGUCCCUUUAAAGUGCCUGAAGAAAGCUACGGCUAGUUCUCUCAAAAAUGUAGGAUUGAAACCUGG